CCUACGGGGGGCUGCAGUGGGGAAUCUUGCGCAAUGGGCGAAAGCCUGACGCAGCGACGCCGCGUGGAGGAUGAGGCCCUUCGGGGUGUAAACUCCUGUUGCCCGGGACGAACGCCGCCCAUCGGGGCGGGUGACGGUACCGGGUGAGGAAGCACCGGCUAACUCUGUGCCAGCAGCCGCGGUAAUACAGAGGGUGCGAGCGUUGUCCGGAAUUACUGGGCGUAAAGGGCGCGUAGGCGGCCCCAGUACGCGUGCCGUGAAAGCCCGGGGCUCAA
Molecule: ribosomal RNA, 275 nt
Filed under: uncultured bacterium
Lineage: Bacteria
Description: partial 16S ribosomal RNA
Rfam family: Bacterial small subunit ribosomal RNA
Source: RNAcentral